CCCGCUGAAGCAGAGAGUGAGCCCGCCUCGCAGAGCGCUAGAUCGGGCUGUGCCGGUGACAGUACCAAACACCUUCAACCUGAGCAGCAGCCGUGGAUCAGCAGCAGAUCAGAACCGCUGUGGACUGCGCGGCUUUGGGAGAAGAAGCGGACUGUAACUACGAGGAACGGACAGCAGAGUCGAUUUUUAUUGGCGUGUUGGUGCUCUCUGAAAAAGUUGCAUCUGCUCGGGACGCACAAGAUAUCCACUGCUGAAGGAAAUACCCCCGCACGGGUUGGCUGUAAAUAACAUCUUUAAAGGCCACGGUCCACCUGAAGAGAAUCCCAGAAAGAAGCAAAGUCCUGGGAUGAAAGCUCUCUGCCAUUUUCCUCUCUCCCCCAGACCACCAGGAGGAGGACGCUGGAUGACACACUGAGGAGCUGUGAAUGCUGAUCAGUGGACUGACAAGGUGUGGGCUCAGAUUAGAGUGUGCUCAUUUUGUCACACAGAUGCAAGCACAUUUAUGGAAAUAGGGGUCUUGGCCUCUUUGCUGCUUCUGUUUAGGGACUAGAUUUGGAGAAGGAUAGCAGUUGGAGAAUGUGACACAGGGGUUAGAAGGAGUAGAGGAAGAGAUGAGGGGGUCAAGAGGUUAGAAAUUUGCGGCUGAGCUCAUGCUGUUC
Oreochromis aureus is the source of this 659-nucleotide long non-coding RNA. The record is from Ensembl. Lineage: Eukaryota; Metazoa; Chordata; Actinopteri; Cichliformes; Cichlidae.